AACGAACGCUGGCGGCGUGCCUAACACAUGCAAGUCGAACGCGAAAGUCCUUCGGAUGAGUAAAGUGGCGCACGGGUGAGUAACACGUAGGUGACCUGCCUUUUAGUAGGGGAAGUAACCAGAAGAAAUUUUGGUCUAAUGCCGCAUACGAAGAACAAAUAUACUAGUAGUUCUUGAAAGGAUGCCUCUGUAUAUGCAUCCACUAAAAGAUGGGCCUGCGGGACAUUAGCUAGUUGGUGGGGUAAGUGGCCUACCAAGGCGACGAUGUCUAUCCGGUCUGAGAGGAUGAUCGGACACACUGGAACUGAGACACGGUCCAGACUCCUACGGGAGGCAGCAGUGGGGAAUAUUGCGCAAUGGGGGGAAACCCUGACGCAGCAACGCCGCGUGAGUGAGGAAGGACUUCGGUCUGUAAAGCUCUGUUAAUGUGGAAAAAUGGUAGUUGGUCUAAUAGGCCGAUUAUUUGAUGGUACACAUAGAGGAAGCACCGGCUAACUUCGUGCCAG
Molecule: ribosomal RNA, 506 nt
Filed under: uncultured bacterium
Lineage: Bacteria
Description: bacterial SSU rRNA
Rfam family: Bacterial small subunit ribosomal RNA
Source: RNAcentral